UUCUAAGUCGAAAGAGUUGCUGAGUUAAAUUACAGGGGCCUGGGCGGAAUGAUUAACAACCCUCAUGCUUUUCUGCAUCCCAGUCAUUACUCACUCCAAACCUGGGGCUUCUCGGUUACAUAGCCUAGUUCAGGCCGACCAUUUUUUCCAUUGACUGAAAACACAUUCUGACUGAAAACAAACUUUGGAUCCCCGAGGCUUGGCAGGCCCUGGGUCCUUCUCCAUAUUUAAUCAACGGGAAGCUAAACACUUUCAGUCUGUGAUGGCUCAUUUGGACGGGGGCUUAGGGCUUUUGCUCGGUGCCAGAUAUAAUAACUCUCCCCUCUCUUUUCUGAGGCCUAUUUUAUAAUUUUGCUGUUUUUCAAUGUCAGGCCCAUCUUUUGAAGAAUUUUUAUUGGAUUUCCUGCUAGACUUCAACGAGGAUUUUUCUUUCUUUGGCAGAAAUAUCAAGCAGAACAGGGGAAAAACUCAAUCAUCCUCUUGGAAAGUGGGGGGGAGGGGAUGAUUGUGAGCUUGGAGCCCUUUGUUUGCUCACAAACAUGUUCUCAUUCUGAGUGAGCUGGAGCCCUGCUGCCAGUUGGGCCCUUCUAACCUUUGACUCAUGGGGAAAACAGACAGGAUCAAGACAAAUGGUGGGGAGCGGUAGAAAGUCAGCUCAGGUCGAAGGGGGGGACGGAGAAUGGAUGACAACGUAUAGAGAUAGGUCAUGUGCGUUCCCAUGCCUCCAUCCAUGGCACGCCUGGUGAGGAGAGACAGGAUUUACCUGAGUGCUGUCCAGGAUCUAUCCUCUAGCAAGUAAAUAACCUGUCAUUCAAUAAACUACCCAGACCAGAUUCCCUGGGACCAUGUUGAUUUGGGAGUGAGACAUCUAUUGAAGCCCAGGGACAAGAUGUCCUACAUAAAGAAAUCUGAACAAAUUCCUUUAAGGUCAGGCCCCCAGGGUUGCAUUUCCAGAGUUGCCAAGCUAUUGCUGCCAUGGACAGUUAGUGUUCUUUUCAAUAAAGAAAAAUAAAAAAUCAAUCAAUUUAUUGAAAA
This is a long non-coding RNA of Antechinus flavipes (yellow-footed antechinus), 1035 nucleotides long. RefSeq lists it as uncharacterized. The record is from RefSeq and is a predicted model, not a curated record. Lineage: Eukaryota; Metazoa; Chordata; Mammalia; Dasyuromorphia; Dasyuridae. The transcript has 2 exons.